Populus euphratica (Euphrates poplar) is the source of this 701-nucleotide long non-coding RNA. RefSeq lists it as uncharacterized. The transcript has 4 exons. The record is from RefSeq and is a predicted model, not a curated record. Lineage: Eukaryota; Viridiplantae; Streptophyta; Magnoliopsida; Malpighiales; Salicaceae.
CCAAUCUAAAAAGCAUGGCGUCUCUUUCGUCACCGAAUUGGCUGUCAACAUCCUAGCAAUACCAGCUUCUCUUCCAACGAGCCAAGCCUUCACAUUUUUAAAUCCAAGAUUAGCACUAACACCCCUUCUCCUUCAACUUCUUUAGGCAGCAGGAGAAGCAGAAACUAGCAUCAACAUGUUCUCUGCUGCAACAAAAACAACAACAACAGCUAAAAGAAGAAGAGCUACUUUUUUGCCUUGGAGAAGUACCAUGUGGAACUGGAACUAAAAGAAGAUAAGCUAUAUUCAAUAUGGCAUUUACUGCUCUUACAUUCCCGGCAAUUGCUUCUACUGAAUUGGCAGCAACCGUUUGUCGAUGAAGAAUCGGUGAAAUUUGGCACCAAGAUCCGGAAGUGUAUGAAAACUCUUCGUUUACAUGGUCUCAAGUUCUUGUCUUCGAAAUAUUAAAGCUUCUGUGACAACUUGGAGAUAAAAGAUUUCAGGUACCACCUGAAAUGCCAGUACUAUUUGGUUCUGCAGGCUGUUCCAUCCUUCAGGUUUAUUUGAUGACAUAAACUACCUGUAAACCAGGUAUCAUUCUUUCAUUUUCUUCUUUGGCCGCUAUAUGUUAAAAAUUCUGGAGUAAUCACAUUCGAUUCGCAUGAAUCUGCUACUCGCGAAGAGAGCUUCUUAAAAAAGCAUCAUGUUAGAUUUGGACAUAG